GCGAGUGAGAGGCUGGUCGCUGUGGCAUCUUCACCGGGGAUGGGGCAGCACACGUGGUCCUCUCUCCAUUGCCAUGCUCGGCUGGCCCCAUGCAGACGCAGGAGAGCUGGGAGGAGAGGCACAGGCUUGGCCAGGUCUUUCCCAAGAGGGAAAGAGGGAUGGGCUCUCCAGGUUCGAGGAACCGUUCUAUUACUGUUCAUCUUUGCAGGAAGAGGAGGAGGGGGAGGAGACUAGCAAAGGGGGGAGAAGAGGAGGAGGAGGAAGAAUUGGAAGCAGGGAAAGGUUGCCUGGAUAACUCGGCUCCUCCUCUCCUUCCUCCCUCCAGAGAGAGAGGAAGACUGGAUCCUGUUCCCAGCUCAGCCGUGAAUGACUGUGCACCCUUCAGUCGGUCAUGUGUUCUCUCUGUACCUGCUUUCUCACCUAAAAUUAAUACAGUGAUUGUAAUGAUGGUAAUAAUUGAAUUCAUUUUAAGGUGCAUAGUUUUACACUUAACAAAUAGCAUUUCUAACAUCUGGCAUGAGUUUUACAAUUGAUGUGUGUCUUUCUUUUAUGCUUCCUCAUGCAGCCUCUUGCCCUGGAACAAAUCAACAGUGCAUCUCAGAAGCAACAGGGUCUUAGAAUUAAGAGGCUAUGGUGUCUGUGAGGUACCAAACAAGAUGGUACCUGAGUGCUUUCACAUGAGCUGUUUUAUUUAUUACAAACUACAGCCCUAGGCGAGGGUAGGUGCCAUUACUCUCCCAUUUAACAGAUGUGGGAACUGAGGCUCAGAGAAAAAGUAGCUUGCAGGCAAGGUCAUGCCUGUUUAAGCAGCCGAACUAGUGCUCGACCACUGAUGAGUCUGAUGCCAGAACCUGCAAGUCUUUCCCAGGGGUGUCUGCUAACAUCGCUUUCCUUCUGGCCGCUCAGGGAUGUGAGAACUUGCUCCUGAAGAGAGCCUCACGUUUUUAGAGGAAAAAUGUUAAUGGUGGUCUUAAUGGCUCACACGCCCCUGCCAAGCACCAAAAGUUCUUGACCAUGAGCUUGAAAGGGUGAUAGCAUGCCUGCGAGACCCUCACAGGUUGCGCUUUCUGUAGAAACAGUGUUUUCUGAGCCUGAAGCAUUUUAGAAAAUAACAUGGGAUUCAUCCCAGAGCCUGGCAGAGGGUCUGGAAAUCCUGAGUCCUGUUUUCCAGUUGGAUUAAACUGAGGUCAGACUUUCUGCCCCAAAGCCUGAAGUGAGUCAUGCAGGCUGGGAGCAGCCCUUGGCAGUCUGACCCCCUCCCAGGCUCUGGGCAGUGAGGGGCCUUGCCCACCCAUCUGUGUGCCCAGUGUCAGGGUGGGUAGUAUUUGCUGGGCUUUGGGGGUCUCUGGGGAAUGGAGAAGAUAAACAGGGGGCUGCCUGGCAGCCUGGAGCAGGGCUUUUGGGCAGAGUCCAGAAAUUAUCUUGCUAACAGUGACAGUCUGAGUCUGUGGGAAGUGGGGUCCUGAAUAAUUGAUUGCUGCUAACUGAAUUGUGAAAACCAUUUUCAGAGAUUCCAAUCAACAGGCUGAUGAGGGGGUAGACAGGAUGAGGGCUUCCUCGUCCCUUGAGCCCAGGGGACCUUCUGAGGCUCCCCCUUGUCUCCCCAGUGAGCUUGGCCAUGGGCCCUGGACUUGGAGGUGGUUCUGGUUGCCCUGUGCCGUCUGCGGGGACCAGCUUCAGGUCAGGAGGAGGGGUGGCCUUGGUUCUGCUGGGUGGGCCCUUCUCUCUCCCCCGAGGGUGGGCUGGGCCUCCGCCCUGAGGGGGGCCCCAGGUUGUCUCAAAUGCAGAGCGGCUCCCCACAUCCACAGACGGGGGACACUGCAAUGCGGGCCCCAGGAUGCUUUGGGGCUCGUUCAGCCCGCUUUGUUGGUAGAAGAGAAGCAUCGCCUCAUUGUCAGAAGCUGAGGGCCUGGGCUCAGAUCCUGGAGCCACCCCUCACUAUUGGUCUGAGUUCGGACCAGUCACAUUACUGUUCUGUGCCUCAGUGUUCCACCUGUAAAAUGGGGCUGAUGGGGCUCCCUACUUUAAAAGAUUGUUGUGACAGUUAAGUUGGUAUUUAAACACAAAGACAGAUAAAUACAAGUGCACGUAAAGUAACGCUGCAGUGGUUACGUCAUGUGGUCCUCUUAAGAGCCCGUGAGGAAGGCAGGGCGAGAAAGGACGGGCAGAGGAGGUGACACGGGGGGCAGCGGAGGCAGAAGAGGCCCCGUGUGAAAGCCGCACCGCUGGUUUAAGGAGGGCAGACAGCCUCUGGGUUUGUCGGAAGCGAGGUUGAGAAUAACUGACUGCUGCUAACUGAGUUGUGAAGAUUCCAGUCUGAGUUCAAAACCGAGUGCCACCAAGGACCAGCUGUGAAACCCUGCUCGGUGUUGCUGGGCCCUUUAGAACCUCACUGGAUCACGUGCAAAAUGGGGUGAUAAUAUCACCUCCCCUGUGGGGUGAGGGCUUCCCUGGUAGCUCAGCUGGUGAAGAAUCCACCUGCAAUGCAGGANNNNNNNNNNNNNNNNNNNNNNNNNNNNNNNNNNNNNNNNNNNNNNNNNNNNNNNNNNNNNNNNNNNNNNNNNNNNNNNNNNNNNNNNNNNNNNNNNNNGGAAUACGUCUGCAAUGCAGGAGACCCUGGUUGAUUUCUGGCCUGAGAAGAUCUGCUGGAGAAGGGAUAGGCUACCCACUCCAAUAAUCGUGGGGUUCCCUUGUGGCUCAGCUGGUAAAGAAACCAUGUACAAUGAGGGAGACCUAGGUUCCAUCUCUGGAUUGAGAAUAGCCCCUGGGGAAGGGAAAGGUUACCCACUUCAGUAUUCUUGCCUGGAUAAUUCCAUGGAUAAAGGAGCCUGGCAGGCUACAGUCCAAGGGGUGUAGUCCAUAUACAUAGUCCAUAUAUAGUCCAUAUAUAGUCCAUAUAUAUAGUCCAUGGGGUCACAAAGAGUCAGAUAUGACUGAAUGACUUUCACUUUCACUUUUCACAUACAAUUAACAAAUCUGUCUUCUUUAUGGAAGGGGGUUGGCUUGAUUGUUCUAUUUGCAGGUAAAAAUUUGUCUUAAACUCAGAAAUCCAACAUUUAAUUACUUAAAUUGGAAGUUUCCCCUGGUGGCUGAGAUGGUAAAGAAUCUGCCUGCAAUGCAGGAGACCAGGGUUCAAUUCCUG
Molecule: long non-coding RNA, 3142 nt
Filed under: Capra hircus (goat)
Lineage: Eukaryota; Metazoa; Chordata; Mammalia; Artiodactyla; Bovidae
Description: lncRNA (ENSCHIG00010031960.1)
Rfam family: tRNA (bases 3080-3142)
Source: RNAcentral